Molecule: ribozyme, 116 nt
Filed under: Aedes aegypti (yellow fever mosquito)
Lineage: Eukaryota; Metazoa; Arthropoda; Insecta; Diptera; Culicidae
Description: drz-agam-1 ribozyme
Rfam family: drz-agam-1 ribozyme
Source: Rfam by way of RNAcentral
UGCCCAGCAACUCCUAUCCCUACCUACUCGUAGUACUGGCCGGGAUUCGAGUAGCCUUAGGAAAGAUAGGGUAACCAAUCCCGGAGGGAACAUUGGUCGUAUGAUGACAGGUAAGG